GACGAACGCUGGCGGCGUGCCUAAUACAUGCAAGUAGAACGCUGAAGAGAGGAGCUUGCUCUUCUUGGAUGAGUUGCGAACGGGUGAGUAACGCGUAGGUAACCUGCCUUGUAGCGGGGGAUAACUAUUGGAAACGAUAGCUAAUACCGCAUAACAAUGGAUGACACAUGUCAUUUAUUUGAAAGGGGCAAUUGCUCCACUACAAGAUGGACCUGCGUUGUAUUAGCUAGUAGGUGAGGUAAUGGCUCACCUAGGCGACGAUACAUAGCCGACCUGAGAGGGUGAUCGGCCACACUGGGACUGAGACACGGCCCAGACGCCUACGGGAGGCAGCAGUAGGGAAUCUGCGGCAAUGGGGGCAACCCUGACCGAGCAACGCCGCGUGAGUGAAGAAGGUUUUCGGAUCGUAAAGCUCGGUUGUAAGUCAAGAACGGGUGUGAGAGUGGAAAGUUCACACUGUGACGGUAGCUUACCAGAAAGGGACGGCUAACUACGUG
This 497-nucleotide ribosomal RNA is filed under the name uncultured bacterium. Its description in RNAcentral is "partial 16S ribosomal RNA". It matches the Rfam family "Bacterial small subunit ribosomal RNA", at positions 28 to 507 of the family's 1533-position model. The record is from RNAcentral.